UUUUUUUUUUGCUACAUCAUUCUUUUGUUUCUUGCCACGUCUGUUUUUCUUUUUUGUGGAUCGAAGACUCGAAACGAAGAGGGCAGAGGGUGUCAAGCAGGUUACCCAUUUUCAUUUUCUUUAUGUUCUGGGUUUGUUUAUGUAUUUGGAGUGAAGUGAAGCUCUAAACUGCGAUAAAUUUUGUGUGCAGGCGUCAGGGGCAACGACCUCUCUUCCAUUUGGUUGUUGGACAUACUGUUUUACAAUACCAAGUUCUUUGAAAACAAGUGUUGAUUCAUGGCUCCAAAGGUGAGGAUUGCACUCUGAAAUUUGUAGGGUGCCUUCAUAGUAUUUGUUGUAUUUGUGUGCUGCCUUCUAUGUUUAAUUGGAAUAGAAUUAUACUUUUCCAUUUGUAUGUCUGGCGAGUGGCUUUACAAAUAAUUGUGCUCAUGAUAAUUUUGUCCUGCUUGUUUGUACUUGUGUAACUGAUUUGUAUACCAGGUCUUUGGGUGUUAACACAUAGGUUGCCCUGUGAAUGAGUUUCCCAAUUAAUUUUGGGAAGUUUUGACAUCAAGCUUUGAACUCUUUUUUUUUUAUAUUCACAUGGCAGAGAAGCAAGUGAAACUUUUUGACACAAUGAAAGUUUUGUCCCAUCUUCAUGUGGCAAAGAAGGUUGCUUGUCCAUUUAAAGAUUGGGAAAUUUUCCCUUUCUUUCCUUGUCUUAUAGCAUUUCAAUGUCUUUUUUGGUCAAAGCUUUGACACAAUGUUUGAUCAAAACUUUGACACAAUUGUAGCAUUUCAAGGCUUUGAACCUUCUUCACGUCUCCUUCCUUCUUUGUCUUUAUCAAAGUUGUGUUGGGGACUUUUCUUUUGUCAUCAUCAAAAUUUCUGAUUUCUUUUCCUUUGUUUAUUUGUCAACACAUGCACUUACUCUCUUUAGCUUUUCCAAACAUGAUAACCACCUUCUUUAGCUUUUACAGAAAACUUUUCUUCAUUUAGUCAUUCUCUUAGAGCAUAUUUUUCUACUUUUCUUCUUGCAUUGGGGAAUUUCCAAGCAUGAGUCGGUCAAGUGGUAUUUUUGGCUUCUUUUCCUUUGCUCAUAUGUACUUAUAUGGUCAUUUGUCUACAUGUGCAUUUUUCUUUGUUCCCUUGUCUCUUUUAUCCAAAUAUGACUUCCACCUGCAUGUCCCCAUAUGUUAAAGAAAAACAACUUUUCUUCUUCCUCCUCUUCACGUGUAUGUCUCCAUGUCUUGUACCCGUGAGUAGCACCAAACAGAACAAUUUCUUACCCCUUGAGUUGUAUCUCGGUAUAUGUUGCUUCCUUGCUGUUUUUCUUUACAGAAACUGAGCUUGGGAUUUUGAAGUUGCACUUGCCAGUCCGGUGAGGGGGUAUAGACCAUUUAGACUCGGUUAAAACUUCACAGGGUGGUCUAGGCCACCCCGAAGAAAUUCAUGGGAUUCUUGGAGAUUAUUUCUGCUGCUGUUAGUGGGGAGUUAUGUCGUUCAAAGUCUCCACCUCCAUCCGAGCAAAGAGACAAAAGCCAAAAGAUGGCUAAAAGAAAGAUUAGAGAAAACAUGAUUUGUCCUUCUCCUUUUUUUUUUUUUGCGUUGUAGACCAUUGCCGAGCAAAGGGGAAUGUCGUGGACCAUUGCCUGGUGGUCUUCUACUGCCAUGUAUUUUUUUUUUUUGUUGCUUCUUCUUUUGUGUCCUUCUCUGUCUUUUGCAUAUAUAUAUAUAUACACACACACACACAUAUUACCCUGCUUUUGUCUGCAACAUAACAUCAAACAAGAGAAGAAUAAUUUUAACAGGGCUUUGUUUCAUACCUGGUGGUGAAUGUUCUUCUUUAGAUCUUGGCUUGAAAGCACGAAUGGUUGAACUCGUUCUCUUUUUUUGGCAGCACUUCGUUGCUUUUGGUAUUUUCUCUCAAAGUUUCUCUAUUUUCUGCAGAGUUUCCCCUCUCUUUUUUUUUUGUCUGUCUCCUCUCUUGCUGUGGCUGAUGCCUAUUUAUAGGCAUCCCAAGAAAGCUCUAGAAUUUUUUUUACAUGGGGGGAGAUGGAGGCCAUGACCUCCUAUCACUUUCCCUUAACUUCUCCCACUAACUAUGCAGUUUUUUUUCAUGCUUUGCAG
This 2109-nucleotide long non-coding RNA is filed under the name Malus domestica (apple). RNAcentral's name for it is "long non-coding RNA (MDOM_LNC002191)". Lineage: Eukaryota; Viridiplantae; Streptophyta; Magnoliopsida; Rosales; Rosaceae. The record is from RNAcentral.